ACCGUGACCGGAAGGCCACUCUGAACGAGCAGAAGUCAGCAGAGGCCAUAGCAGCCGAAAGGUGAAGGG
Molecule: non-coding RNA, 69 nt
Filed under: uncultured Acidaminococcus sp.
Lineage: Bacteria; Bacillati; Bacillota; Negativicutes; Acidaminococcales; Acidaminococcaceae
Source: RNAcentral